AGGAAAGAAGAGGGACUGGGAAGCUAGGGCGACUGAGGAUACGCCGAGGUCUAGUCCGGCUUGGCAGCGCGAACUAGAGAGCUUUGCGAGCCGCGGGGCUGGGAAGUCAGGGCAUAAGGGCCAGGCCUGCCCUCUGGUGCUUUCGGCUCCUCGGGCCCCCGACUUUAAAGUGCUCAAGUUGGGGUCGGCGCCAUCAUGACGCCUGAGACUGAGAAGAAAAAGUUACAAGUAAUAGAAGAACUAACUCAUUCAGGAGCCCGAAGAAAGGAACAGAACUUCUAGUGUGAGAUGCUGAGACCGCCUCACUGUGAAAGGUGUUCCCUGUCCAUUCUGAUAAGAGGGGGACUGCACAGCUUGGAUUGAUUCAUGUCUCUUGCUUGGAUCCUGCAACAUCUGACUACAGUGCAGGAAAUAACACUAUGGCUGACUCUUGGAUAUCAUCUGUAACCCUAUUCCCUUGACAAUGAAUAACACUGAAUUCAAUUAAAAUCUGACCCAAACAAGAAGGAGCCUGAAGCUACAGUCUGUCUACAUGAAAAACAAAUUGGGAACUCAGUAGGAAAAGACACUUGCCUCCUAACCUGACCACCAGGGUUCUAUUCCCUAGACCAGCAUGGUUGAAGAGAAGACAAACUCCCAUAAGGUCUCCUCUGGCUUCAACACUGUCCUCAGGGUCUGCAUCUGGCCACACAUACACAUGUUACCUAAUUCAAUCUUUCAUUAAUAAAGUUCCAAUAAAAGAAGUGAGCAA
Molecule: long non-coding RNA, 751 nt
Filed under: Mus musculus (house mouse)
Lineage: Eukaryota; Metazoa; Chordata; Mammalia; Rodentia; Muridae
Description: lincRNA-EC247
Source: RNAcentral